RNAcentral lists this ribosomal RNA (181 nucleotides) under uncultured bacterium. RNAcentral describes it as "partial 16S ribosomal RNA". It matches the Rfam family "Bacterial small subunit ribosomal RNA", at positions 1310 to 1500 of the family's 1533-position model. The record is from RNAcentral.
ACCCGCCUGCACGAAGCCGGAGUUGCUAGUAAUCGCGAAUCNGAAUGUCGCGGUGAAUGCGUUCCCGGGUCUUGUACACACCGCCCGUCACACCAUGGAAGUUGGGGGUGCCCAAAGCCGGCAAGCAAAUAUGCUGUCUAAGGCAAAACCAAUGACUGGGGUGAAGUCGUAACAAGGUAAC